This 220-nucleotide long non-coding RNA is filed under the name Elaeis guineensis (African oil palm). RNAcentral's name for it is "long non-coding RNA (EGUI_LNC039029)". Lineage: Eukaryota; Viridiplantae; Streptophyta; Magnoliopsida; Arecales; Arecaceae. The record is from RNAcentral.
UCCGGAUGUCAAGUAUCAUUGCUAGAUGGUCACUUCGAUUAGUACUGAAAUUAGUUUUUAUACGACCAGCUUAGUGUUCGAACCUAUGGAGUCAUGCACAUUGUCGAGAGAUGUGGAAAAGGGCUUGACCUAUGAUCUAUAUGUUCAAUUUGAAACUAGGUGACUUGAUUGAACAAAUAGACUGACUUAAUUGAGAAUUAAGGUUCUAGGUCAUAUAGAA